This 1459-nucleotide ribosomal RNA is filed under the name bacterium enrichment culture clone B118(2011). RNAcentral's name for it is "16S ribosomal RNA". It matches the Rfam family "Bacterial small subunit ribosomal RNA". The record is from RNAcentral.
GGUAACCGUAGAGUUUGAUCAUGGCUCAGGAUGAACGCUGGCGGCGUGCUUAACACAUGCAAGUCGAACGAACCUUCGGGUUAGUGGCGGACGGGUGAGUAACGCGUGAGAAUCUGCCCUCAGGAGGGGGAUAACGGCUGGAAACGGCCGCUAAUACCCCAUAUGCCGAGAGGUGAAACGAAUUUCGCCUGAGGAUGAGCUCGCGUCUGAUUAGCUAGUUGGUGGGGUAAAGGCCUACCAAGGCAUCGAUCAGUAGCUGGUCUGAGAGGAUGAUCAGCCACACUGGGACUGAGACACGGCCCAGACUCCUACGGGAGGCAGCAGUGGGGAAUUUUCCGCAAUGGGCGCAAGCCUGACGGAGCAACGCCGCGUGAGGGAUGAAGGCCUCUGGGCUGUAAACCUCUUUUAUCAAGGAAGAAGAUCUGACGGUACUUGAUGAAUAAGCCACGGCUAAUUCCGUGCCAGCAGCCGCGGUAAUACGGGAGUGGCAAGCGUUAUCCGGAAUUAUUGGGCGUAAAGCGUCCGCAGGCGGUCUUGUAAGUCUGUCGUUAAAGCGUGGAGCUUAACUCCAUUUAAGCGAUGGAAACUGUAAGACUAGAGUGUGGUAGGGGCAGAGGGAAUUCCCGGUGUAGCGGUGAAAUGCGUAGAUAUCGGGAAGAACACCAGUGGCGAAGGCGCUCUGCUGGGCCAUAACUGACGCUCAUGGACGAAAGCCAGGGGAGCGAAAGGGAUUAGAUACCCCUGUAGUCCUGGCCGUAAACGAUGAACACUAGGUGUCGGGGGAAUCGACCCCCUCGGUGUCGUAGCCAACGCGUUAAGUGUUCCGCCUGGGGAGUACGCACGCAAGUGUGAAACUCAAAGGAAUUGACGGGGGCCCGCACAAGCGGUGGAGUAUGUGGUUUAAUUCGAUGCAACGCGAAGAACCUUACCAGGGUUUGACAUCCUGCGAAUCUCUUGGAAACGAGAGAGUGCCUUCGGGAACGCAGUGACAGGUGGUGCAUGGCUGUCGUCAGCUCGUGUCGUGAGAUGUUGGGUUAAGUCCCGCAACGAGCGCAACCCACGUCGUUAGUUGCCAGCAUUUAGUUGGGCACUCUAGCGAGACCGCCGGUGAUAAACCGGAGGAAGGUGUGGAUGACGUCAAGUCAUCAUGCCCCUUACAUCCUGGGCUACACACGUACUACAAUGCUACGGACAAAGGGCAGCAAACUCGCGAGAGCUAGCAAAUCCCAUAAACCGUGGCUCAGUUCAGAUCGUAGGCUGCAACUCGCCUACGUGAAGGAGGAAUCGCUAGUAAUCGCAGGUCAGCAUACUGCGGUGAAUACGUUCCCGGGCCUUGUACACACCGCCCGUCACACCAUGGAAGUUGGCCACGCCCGAAGCCGUUACUCCAACCCUUGUGGAGGAGGAUGUCGAAGGUGGGGCUGAUGACUGGGGUGAAGUCGUAACAAGGUAACCGUAG